This 119-nucleotide ribosomal RNA is filed under the name Pteropus alecto (black flying fox). The record is from RNAcentral. Lineage: Eukaryota; Metazoa; Chordata; Mammalia; Chiroptera; Pteropodidae. RNAcentral also lists the same sequence under 1 other name.
GCUUGCUGAGAUUUGGUGCAUUUAAAAAUAAGUUAUGUCUGAUCUUGGAAGCUAAGCAGGGUCGGGCCUGGUUAGUACUUGGAUGGGAGACCACCUAGGAAAACCAGGUGCUGUAGUCU